Unclassified non-coding RNA from Ursus americanus (American black bear), 315 nucleotides. Its record names the gene 7SK. It matches the Rfam family "7SK RNA". From Rfam's summary of the family: 7SK was discovered as an abundant small nuclear RNA in the mid-70s but a possible function has only recently been suggested. Two independent studies have found that 7SK RNA binds the CDK9/cyclin T complex (known as elongation factor P-TEFb). P-TEFb activates transcription by phosphorylating the C-terminal domain of RNA polymerase II. Lineage: Eukaryota; Metazoa; Chordata; Mammalia; Carnivora; Ursidae. The record is from Ensembl.
UGAUGUCAGAACAAUCUGGCUAUGACAUCUGUCAUCCCAUUGAUUGCCAGGGUUGAUUUGGCUGAUCUGUCUGGCUGGGUGGUGUCCCCUUCCUCUCUCACAGUUCCAUGUGUUCCCCUCCCGAAGCUGAACAUAGGUGGAAGAGGACAAGUUGCCCUGAUAGAGGAAGAUCAUUCCUCAAGGAGCCGUCCUCCCCUGCUAGAACCUACAAACAAACUCUCAAGGUCCAUUUGUAGGAGAAGGUAGGGUAGUCAAGCUUCUAAGACUCCAGACACAUCCAAAUGAGGUGCUGCAGGUGGCAGUCUGCCUUUCUUU